RNAcentral lists this ribosomal RNA (509 nucleotides) under uncultured Acaulospora. RNAcentral's name for it is "SSU rRNA". It matches the Rfam family "Eukaryotic small subunit ribosomal RNA", at positions 569 to 1079 of the family's 1831-position model. The record is from RNAcentral. Lineage: Eukaryota; Fungi; Glomeromycota; Glomeromycetes; Diversisporales; Acaulosporaceae.
AGCAGCCGCGGUAAUUCCAGCUCCAGUAGCGUAUAUUAAAGCUGUUGCAGUUAAAAAGCUCGUAGUUGAAUUUCGGGAUUUGUCAGUUGGUCGGGCUUCACUGUCCGUACUGACUUGAUGGAUUCUUACCUUCUGAAUAACCAGCAUGCUAUUUAGUUAGUGCGUUGGGGAAGCAGAUCUAUUACCUUGAAAAAAUUAGAGUGCUUAAAGCGGGCUAGUGCUUGAAUAGAUUAGCAUGGAAUAAUAAAAUAGGACGGCAUGGUUCUAUUUUGUUGGUUUCUAGGAUCACCGUAAUGAUUAAUAGGGAUAGUUGGGGGCAUUAGUAUUCAAUUGUCAGAGGUGAAAUUCUUGGAUUUAUUGAAGACUAACUUCUGCGAAAGCAUUUGCCAAGGAUGUUUUCAUUAAUCAAGAACGAAAGUUAGGGGAUCGAAGACGAUCAGAUACCGUCGUAGUCUCAACCAUAAACUAUGCCGACUAGGAAUCGACGAAGUUAAUUUUAUAAUGACUCG